Molecule: ribosomal RNA, 435 nt
Filed under: uncultured fungus
Lineage: Eukaryota; Fungi
Description: eukaryotic LSU rRNA
Rfam family: Eukaryotic large subunit ribosomal RNA
Source: RNAcentral
GACCUCAAAUCGGGUGGGACUACCCGCUGAACUUAAGCAUAUCAAUAAGCGGAGGAAAAGAAACUAACAAGGAUUCCCCUAGUAACGGCGAGUGAAGAGGGAAAAGCUCAAAUUUUGAAUCUGGUGUCUUUGACGCCCGAGUUGUAAUCUAGAGAAGUGUUUUCCGUGUCGGACCGUGCACAAGUUCCCUGGAACGGGGCGUCAUAGAGGGUGAGAAUCCCGUAUAUGGCACGGACUGCCGAUGCUCUGUGAUACACUCUCAACGAGUCGAGUUGUUUGGGAAUGCAGCUCAAAAUGGGUGGUAAAUUCCAUCUAAAGCUAAAUAUUGGCGAGAGACCGAUAGCGAACAAGUACCGUGAGGGAAAGAUGAAAAGCACUUUGGAAAGAGAGUGAAACAGUACGUGAAAUUGUUGAAAGGGAAGCGUUUGAAGUCAG